Molecule: long non-coding RNA, 744 nt
Organism: Galeopterus variegatus (Sunda flying lemur)
Lineage: Eukaryota; Metazoa; Chordata; Mammalia; Dermoptera; Cynocephalidae
Exons: 2
Source: RefSeq, a predicted model, not a curated record
GCAUUAAUAAACUGUUUGAAACUUUGGUUCAUGGAUUGGUUUGGUUUUCAGUUACAGCUUUCUUCCUAGCCACCAUAAUGGGUGUGAGAUUUAAGAGAUCCAAGAAAAUAAUGCCUGCUGGGCUGGUAGCAGGUUUAAGCCUCAUGAUGAUCCUGAGACUCAUUUUAUUGCUGCUGUAAGCAUCUGGAGGAACUGAAAACUAAAUUCAUGUCAUUCGACUGUAAGGGGGCAGAGCGUAUUCUUUGUAUUUAAGAGAUAAAUUUCAAUAUAGAAUAUCAAAUAUCUUAUUUUAUGUUAGAAACAAAAGUAACACUGUCACCUCUAAUAUGAACACUGGUUUGAGGUGUUUUCUUUUUUCACACAGAAACUUUAACUGUUUUCUAAUUGUCAAGCACUGUUUUCAUUAAAGGUGUUUAAUGAAUCAUGAUAUACUCUUGCAUUUGCUGUGUCUAUUUUUAUAUAUGUGAUUUUUUUUUUUUUUUUUGAGAAUUCCAAAUACUCAUGAUUUGAUUAAGUUUAAAUUAAACUACAACUUAUCAGAUAAGGGAAUUCCUUACUGGACUUCACAGAAUGCUAAUGUAUCUAUUUGUCAUUUAUGUUAUAUUAGAAAUUACAUUUUUUCCAUUUUAAUUGUAUUGCUGCCAGUGUUAUUUUUUUCCUUUAAAAAAUUCUGUUCUCACCACACGCUGUGUUCUAACAGAAUGUAUUCAGUAUUCAAAUAAAAGACAUUUUGUUUUAAACCUG